This 73-nucleotide transfer RNA is filed under the name Marmota monax (woodchuck). RNAcentral describes it as "tRNA.Val". It matches the Rfam family "tRNA". Rfam says of the family: Transfer RNA (tRNA) molecules are approximately 80 nucleotides in length. Their secondary structure includes four short double-helical elements and three loops (D, anti-codon, and T loops). Further hydrogen bonds mediate the characteristic L-shaped molecular structure. tRNAs have two regions of fundamental functional importance: the anti-codon, which is responsible for specific mRNA codon recognition, and the 3' end, to which the tRNAs corresponding amino acid is attached (by aminoacyl-tRNA synthetases). tRNAs cope with the degeneracy of the genetic code in two manners: having more than one tRNA (with a specific anti-codon) for a particular amino acid; and 'wobble' base-pairing, i.e. permitting non-standard base-pairing at the 3rd anti-codon position. Lineage: Eukaryota; Metazoa; Chordata; Mammalia; Rodentia; Sciuridae. The record is from RNAcentral.
CUGGGGAUCUAGCUCAGAGGUAGAGCACUUGCCUUACACACAUAAGGCCCUGGGUUCAAUCCCCAGCACCAGG